Molecule: transfer RNA, 67 nt
Filed under: Cyrtodactylus sp. CDS-2010a
Lineage: Eukaryota; Metazoa; Chordata; Lepidosauria; Squamata; Gekkonidae
Description: tRNA-Trp
Source: RNAcentral
AAGUUUAGGUUAAAUUAAACCAAAGGCCUUCAAAGCCUAAAAUAAGCCAGCACAGCCCUUAACUUCU